Molecule: unclassified non-coding RNA, 345 nt
Filed under: soil metagenome
Description: partial contains 5.8S ribosomal RNA, internal transcribed spacer 2, and large subunit ribosomal RNA
Rfam family: 5.8S ribosomal RNA (bases 1-119)
Source: RNAcentral
GAUGAAGAACGCAGUGAAAUGCGAUACGUAAUGUGAAUUGCAAAUUCAGUGAAUCAUCGAGUCUUUGAACGCACAUUGCGCCCCCUGGUAUUCCGGGGGGCAUGCCUGUCCGAGCGUCAUUGCUGCCCUCAAGCACGGCUUGUGUGUUGGGCCCCGUCCUCCGAUCCCGGGGGACGGGCCCGAAAGGCAGAGGCGGCACCGCGUCCGGUCCUCGAGCGUAUGGGGCUUUGUCACCCGCUCUGUAGGCCCGGCCGGCGCUUGCCGAUCAACCCAAAUUUUUAUCCAGGUUGACCUCGGAUCAGGUAGGGAUACCCGCUGAACUUAAGCAUAUCAAUAAGCGGAGGA